Molecule: ribosomal RNA, 497 nt
Filed under: uncultured bacterium
Lineage: Bacteria
Description: partial 16S ribosomal RNA
Rfam family: Bacterial small subunit ribosomal RNA
Source: RNAcentral
GAUGAACGCUGGCGGCGUGCCUAAUACAUGCAAGUCGAGCGAACGGACGAGAAGCUUGCUUCUCUGAUGUUAGCGGCGGACGGGUGAGUAACACGUGGAUAACCUACCUAUAAGACUGGGAUAACUUCGGGAAACCGUAGCUAAUACCGGAUAAUAUUUUGAACCGCGUGGUUCAAAAGUGAAAGACGGUCUUGCUGUCACUUAUAGAUGGAUCCGUGCUGCAUUAGCUAGUUGGUAAGGUAACGGCUUACCAAGGCAACGAUGCAUAGCCGACCUGAGAGGGUGAUCGGCCACACUGGAACUGAGACACGGUCCAGACUCCUACGGGAGGCAGCAGUAGGGAAUCUUCCGCAAUGGGCGAAAGCCUGACGGAGCAACGCCGCGUGAGUGAUGAAGGUCUUCGGAUCGUAAAACUCUGUUAUUAGGGAAGAACAUAUGUGUAAGUAACUGUGCACAUCUUGACGGUACCUAAUCAGAAAGCCACGGCUAACUACGUG